This 336-nucleotide unclassified non-coding RNA is filed under the name soil metagenome. RNAcentral's name for it is "partial contains 5.8S ribosomal RNA, internal transcribed spacer 2, and large subunit ribosomal RNA". The stretch from base 1 to 120 matches the Rfam family "5.8S ribosomal RNA", at positions 35 to 154 of the family's 154-position model. The record is from RNAcentral.
GAUGAAGAACGUAGCGAAAUGCGAUAAGUAGUGUGAAUUGCAGAAUUCAGUGAAUCAUCGAAUCUUUGAACGCACAUUGCGCCCCUUGGUAUUCCAUGGGGCAUGCCUGUUCGAGCGUCAUUUGUACCUUCAAGCUUUGCUUGGUGUUGGGUGCUUGUCUCGCCUUUGCGUGUAGACUCGCCUUAAAAUAAUUGGCAGCCGGCGUAUUGAUUUCGGAGCGCAGUACAUCUCGCGCUUUGCACUCAUAACGACAGCGUCCAAAAGUACAUUUUACACUCUUGACCUCGGAUCAGGUAGGGAUACCCGCUGAACUCAAGCAUAUCAAUAAGCGGAGGA